Molecule: ribosomal RNA, 497 nt
Filed under: uncultured bacterium
Lineage: Bacteria
Description: partial 16S ribosomal RNA
Rfam family: Bacterial small subunit ribosomal RNA
Source: RNAcentral
GAUGAACGCUGGCGGCGUGCCUAAUACAUGCAAGUCGAGCGAACAGACGAGGAGCUUGCUCCUCUGACGUUAGCGGCGGACGGGUGAGUAACACGUGGAUAACCUACCUAUAAGACUGGGAUAACUUCGGGAAACCGGAGCUAAUACCGGAUAAUAUAUUGAACCGCAUGGUUCAAUAGUGAAAGACGGUUUUGCUGUCACUUAUAGAUGGAUCCGCGCCGCAUUAGCUAGUUGGUAAGGUAACGGCUUACCAAGGCAACGAUGCGUAGCCGACCUGAGAGGGUGAUCGGCCACACUGGAACUGAGACACGGUCCAGACUCCUACGGGAGGCAGCAGUAGGGAAUCUUCCGCAAUGGGCGAAGGCCUGACGGAGCAACGCCGCGUGAGUGAUGAAGGUCUUCGGAUCGUAAAACUCUGUUAUUAGGGAAGAACAAAUGUGUAAGUAACCAUGCACGUCUUGACGGUACCUAAUCAGAAAGCCACGGCUAACUACGUG